CGAGCGCACCCCUAUCCUUAUUUGCCAGCGAGUUAUGUCGGGAACUCUAAGGAGACUGCCGGUGAUAAACCGGAGGAAGGUGGGGACGACGUCAAGUCAUCAUGGCCCUUACGGGAUGGGCUACACACGUGCUACAAUGGCAAGUACAGAGGGCAGCAAUACCGCGAGGUGGAGCGAAUCCCACAAAGCUUGUCGUAGUCCGGAUUGGAGUCUGCAACUCGACUCCAUGAAGUCGGAAUCGCUAGUAAUCGUAGAUCAGAAUGCUACGGUGAAUACGUUCCCGGGCCUUGCACACACCGCCCGU
This 304-nucleotide ribosomal RNA is filed under the name uncultured bacterium. RNAcentral describes it as "SSU rRNA". It matches the Rfam family "Bacterial small subunit ribosomal RNA", at positions 1093 to 1397 of the family's 1533-position model. The record is from RNAcentral.